GGGAGCAGGUGAAGAAGAACUCACCAUCACUGUAGUCCUUGUGGUGCACAGACACGUGGUAGCGCCGGGGAUUGGAGCAAAAGAUUCUCCUGCUGGCUUUGAAGAAGCUGCCAUGUUGUGAGAGGGCCCCAUGGCAAGGAACUGCAGGUGGCCUCUAGGAAGGGAACUCAGAGAAGCCCUUGGGUGACAUUCAGAAGAAAAGAGGAACCACAGUCCUACAGCCACAAAAAAACUGAAUUCUGGCAACAACCAUCUGAGCUUAGAAAAGAGCCUCAAACUCAAGAAAGGCAGGCAGCCUGGCUGACACCUUGAUCGCAGUCUUGUGUGACCCUCAGCAGAGGACCCAUUUGAGUCAUGCCUGGACUCCUCACCCAGGGAAACUGGAAAAUGAUAAAUGUAUAUUGUUUUAAGCCUCUAGGUUUGUG
Molecule: long non-coding RNA, 425 nt
Filed under: Homo sapiens (human)
Lineage: Eukaryota; Metazoa; Chordata; Mammalia; Primates; Hominidae
Description: HSALNT0243689
Source: RNAcentral